AUGUCGGAUCAUGAGCACUCGAUGAAAAUCAGCAGUAGCCACCAUAGAGGCAAAACGCUCAAACCAGGUGCGAGGGGCUUGCUUAGAGCCAUAGUGAGAGUGAUGAAGACGAGAAAGCAUGUCGUAAGGAGCAGGACACCAUUAAGAAAUGCAUUCUUAACAUCAAGCCUGGACACAGAUGAGUGGCAAACAGAGGCCUCAAUAAGAAGUGUGCGAACAGUGGUGAGCAAAAGUCUCAUCGUAAUCAAGACCACGCUCCUACUGAAAGCCAUUAUGCACAACACGAGAUUUGUAACGCCCAAGAGAACCAUCAGAGUGAGUCCUAACCUUGUAGACCCACCAAGUGAUGGGACGAACACGAGGAGGAACAUAUACAAUAUCCCACGCGCCAAUGCGCUCAAGAGCAGCAGUCUCCUCUGCCAUCACAAGGUGCCAUUUGGUAUGAACAACACCACAAUAAGAAGUUGGCUCAAGAACAACAUCGCCAAUGCUUGGAAGACCUAG
This 504-nucleotide ribosomal RNA is filed under the name Triticum aestivum (bread wheat). RNAcentral's name for it is "partial small subunit ribosomal RNA". Lineage: Eukaryota; Viridiplantae; Streptophyta; Magnoliopsida; Poales; Poaceae. The record is from RNAcentral.